RNAcentral lists this transfer RNA (64 nucleotides) under bovine gut metagenome. It matches the Rfam family "tRNA", at positions 6 to 65 of the family's 71-position model. From Rfam's summary of the family: Transfer RNA (tRNA) molecules are approximately 80 nucleotides in length. Their secondary structure includes four short double-helical elements and three loops (D, anti-codon, and T loops). The record is from RNAcentral.
UUGUAGCUCAGUAGGAUAGAGCAAUUGCCUCCUAAGCAAUAGGUCGAAGGUUCGAACCCUUUCA